UUAGCUUUUCAGACCCCAGAGAGAACUUCAAAAAUUGUUGUUGGGACUCUUUAAUAGAGUCUUCAAGAGCUAUCUUAGCAGACCUGAGAGAAGAUAUCUCAACAGUGAGAUUCUCUAUCGUUUCCUCACAAAUCUCAAGAGAAUUCUGGAAACUCAUCUUUUCAACCUUCCAUUUUUCUUGCUGGGAUGACAAGUCAGCUUGUAUCCCUGCCUUUUGUUCCUCGCUUUUUGCAAAGGCCUUUGUCAACACGUCAAUUUUUGACAACAUUGACUUUGAAGCACCAACAAGUUCGGUGAACUUUUGCAUCCUAUCCUCAUCAUCUUCUUCAUCCUCAGGAGGGUCAACGAGGCUAACUGUAGCAACGAAUGACACAUGUUCCUCAUUUUGAAUCAAAGAAGAUUCGGGGACAUACCGAGCAACGAAAGCCACAGUGUCCUCCUCUUGAUCAUCAAAGAAAUCUUUCUCAUCAUCACUCCAGAUGGCUACAUAAGCCUUUUGAGGCUUCUGAGAACGAACCUUCCUAUUUCCACAAUCCACAGCUCUAUGACCUCUACCUCCACAUUCAAAACAAGUCCCGUCACCUUUUUGAAUGGUCCUAAAGUUUGAGUUCCUAUUCUGGUUUCUAUCCUGAGGGAACUCCCCUGAUUUAGGAUUCCUAGGGUACCUAUCCUGAGAGGUCUCCCCAGAUCUGGGAUUUGAGAAGUUUCGACCCGGAGAGAAAAACUUUUUCUUUUUCUUAAGAAGGUUCUCAAAUUGUUUUGUGAGAAAGGCACACUCCUCUACGGAAUACUCAACAUCCUCAGGGAUCUUAACUUCCAGUUUGACCUCUUUCUCUUUGAUAGCAGAAAGAGCAAUGGAUUUCUCCUUCUUAAGCCCUUUCUUGUAGGAUUCAUAGGUUUUUAAAUUUCCUAUCAGCUCUUCCAAAGAAUACGUCUUAAGAUUUUGAGCUUCUUCUAUGGCAACCUUUUUGUUUUCAUAGCUAGGAGGAAGGGCUCUAAGAAAUUUCUUAACAACUCUACUUGGAGGCCAGGGAUCAUCUAGACUUUGACACCCAUUUACUAUGCUGAGCACACGACUAUGAAACUC
Molecule: long non-coding RNA, 1087 nt
Filed under: Fragaria vesca (wild strawberry)
Lineage: Eukaryota; Viridiplantae; Streptophyta; Magnoliopsida; Rosales; Rosaceae
Description: long non-coding RNA (FVES_LNC003959)
Source: RNAcentral